This 1029-nucleotide ribosomal RNA is filed under the name Cedecea neteri. Its description in RNAcentral is "bacterial SSU rRNA". It matches the Rfam family "Bacterial small subunit ribosomal RNA", at positions 40 to 1060 of the family's 1533-position model. The record is from RNAcentral. Lineage: Bacteria; Pseudomonadati; Pseudomonadota; Gammaproteobacteria; Enterobacterales; Enterobacteriaceae.
UUGUUGGGUCUACACAUGCAAGUCGAGCGGUAGCACGGGGAGCUUGCUCCUGGGUGACGAGCGGCGGACGGGUGAGUAAUGUCUGGGGAUCUGCCUGAUGGAGGGGGAUAACUACUGGAAACGGUAGCUAAUACCGCAUAACGUCGCAAGACCAAAGAGGGGGACCUUCGGGCCUCUUGCCAUCAGAUGAACCCAGAUGGGAUUAGCUAGUAGGUGGGGUAAUGGCUCACCUAGGCGACGAUCCCUAGCUGGUCUGAGAGGAUGACCAGCCACACUGGAACUGAGACACGGUCCAGACUCCUACGGGAGGCAGCAGUGGGGAAUAUUGCACAAUGGGCGCAAGCCUGAUGCAGCCAUGCCGCGUGUAUGAAGAAGGCCUUCGGGUUGUAAAGUACUUUCAGCGAGGAGGAAGGCAUUAAGGUUAAUAACCUUGGUGAUUGACGUUACUCGCAGAAGAAGCACCGGCUAACUCCGUGCCAGCAGCCGCGGUAAUACGGAGGGUGCAAGCGUUAAUCGGAAUUACUGGGCGUAAAGCGCACGCAGGCGGUUUGUUAAGUCGGAUGUGAAAUCCCCGGGCUCAACCUGGGAACUGCAUUCGAAACUGGCAAGCUUGAGUCUUGUAGAGGGGGGUAGAAUUCCAGGUGUAGCGGUGAAAUGCGUAGAGAUCUGGAGGAAUACCGGUGGCGAAGGCGGCCCCCUGGACAAAGACUGACGCUCAGGUGCGAAAGCGUGGGGAGCAAACAGGAUUAGAUACCCUGGUAGUCCACGCCGUAAACGAUGUCGACUUGGAGGUUGUGCCCUUGAGGCGUGGCUUCCGGAGCUAACGCGUUAAGUCGACCGCCUGGGGAGUACGGCCGCAAGGUUAAAACUCAAAUGAAUUGACGGGGGCCCGCACAAGCGGUGGAGCAUGUGGUUUAAUUCGAUGCAACGCGAAGAACCUUACCUACUCUUGACAUCCAGAGAACUUUCCAGAGAUGGAUUGGUGCCUUCGGGAACUCUGAGACAGGUGCUGCAUGGCUGUCGUCAGCU